This 1261-nucleotide ribosomal RNA is filed under the name Bacillus amyloliquefaciens. RNAcentral's name for it is "bacterial SSU rRNA". It matches the Rfam family "Bacterial small subunit ribosomal RNA", at positions 74 to 1320 of the family's 1533-position model. The record is from RNAcentral. Lineage: Bacteria; Bacillati; Bacillota; Bacilli; Caryophanales; Bacillaceae.
GGGAGCUUGCUCCCUGAUGUUAGCGGCGGACGGGUGAGUAACACGUGGGUAACCUGCCUGUAAGACUGGGAUAACUCCGGGAAACCGGGGCUAAUACCGGAUGGUUGUUUGAACCGCAUGGUUCAAACAUAAAAGGUGGCUUCGGCUACCACUUACAGAUGGACCCGCGGCGCAUUAGCUAGUUGGUGAGGUAACGGCUCACCAAGGCGACGAUGCGUAGCCGACCUGAGAGGGUGAUCGGCCACACUGGGACUGAGACACGGCCCAGACUCCUACGGGAGGCAGCAGUAGGGAAUCUUCCGCAAUGGACGAAAGUCUGACGGAGCAACGCCGCGUGAGUGAUGAAGGUUUUCGGAUCGUAAAGCUCUGUUGUUAGGGAAGAACAAGUACCGUUCGAAUAGGGCGGUACCUUGACGGUACCUAACCAGAAAGCCACGGCUAACUACGUGCCAGCAGCCGCGGUAAUACGUAGGUGGCAAGCGUUGUCCGGAAUUAUUGGGCGUAAAGGGCUCGCAGGCGGUUUCUUAAGUCUGAUGUGAAAGCCCCCGGCUCAACCGGGGAGGGUCAUUGGAAACUGGGGAACUUGAGUGCAGAAGAGGAGAGUGGAAUUCCACGUGUAGCGGUGAAAUGCGUAGAGAUGUGGAGGAACACCAGUGGCGAAGGCGACUCUUUGGUCUGUAACUGACGCUGAGGAGCGAAAGCGUGGGGAGCGAACAGGAUUAGAUACCCUGGUAGUCCACGCCGUAAACGAUGAGUGCUAAGUGUUAGGGGGUUUCCGCCCCUUAGUGCUGCAGCUAACGCAUUAAGCACUCCGCCUGGGGAGUACGGUCGCAAGACUGAAACUCAAAGGAAUUGACGGGGGCCCGCACAAGCGGUGGAGCAUGUGGUUUAAUUCGAAGCAACGCGAAGAACCUUACCAGGUCUUGACAUCCUUUGACAAUCCUAGAGAUAGGACGUCCCCUUCGGGGGCAGAGUGACAGGUGGUGCAUGGUUGUCGUCAGCUCGUGUCGUGAGAUGUUGGGUUAAGUCCCGCAACGAGCGCAACCCUUGAUCUUAGUUGCCAGCAUUCAGUUGGGCACUCUAAGGUGACUGCCGGUGACAAACCGGAGGAAGGUGGGGAUGACGUCAAAUCAUCAUGCCCCUUAUGACCUGGGCUACACACGUGCUACAAUGGACAGAACAAAGGGCAGCGAAACCGCGAGGUUAAGCCAAUCCCACAAAUCUGUUCUCAGUUCGGAUCGCAGUCUGCAACUCGACUGCG